UUCAGCAGUAUAAGGUCCAGCAU
This 23-nucleotide non-coding RNA is filed under the name Drosophila melanogaster (fruit fly). Lineage: Eukaryota; Metazoa; Arthropoda; Insecta; Diptera; Drosophilidae. The record is from RNAcentral.